This 553-nucleotide ribosomal RNA is filed under the name uncultured bacterium. RNAcentral describes it as "bacterial SSU rRNA". It matches the Rfam family "Bacterial small subunit ribosomal RNA", at positions 372 to 917 of the family's 1533-position model. The record is from RNAcentral.
UGGGCGCAAGCCUGAUCCAGCCAUGCCGCGUGUGUGAAGAAGGCCCUCGGGUUGUAAAGCACUUUCAGCGAGGAAGAACGCCUGGCGGUUAAUACCCGCCAGGAAAGACAUCACUCGCAGAAGAAGCACCGGCUAACUCCGUGCCAGCAGCCGCGGUAAUACGGAGGGUGCAAGCGUUAAUCGGAAUUACUGGGCGUAAAGCGCGCGUAGGUGGCUUGAUAAGCCGGUUGUGAAAGCCCCGGGCUCAACCUGGGAACGGCAUCCGGAACUGUCAGGCUAGAGUGCAGGAGAGGAAGGUAGAAUUCCCGGUGUAGCGGUGAAAUGCGUAGAGAUCGGGAGGAAUACCAGUGGCGAAGGCGGCCUUCUGGACUGACACUGACACUGAGGUGCGAAAGCGUGGGUAGCAAACAGGAUUAGAUACCCUGGUAGUCCACGCCGUAAACGAUGUCGACCAGCCGUUGGGUGCCUAGCGCACUUUGUGGCGAAGUUAACGCGAUAAGUCGACCGCCUGGGGAGUACGGCCGCAAGGUUAAAACUCAAAAGAAUUGACGGA